CAGUCGCCGCGGGAAUACGAAGGGUGCAAGCGUUACUCGGAAUUACUGGGCGUAAAGCGUGCGUAGGUGGUGGUUUAAGUCUGUUGUGAAAGCCCUGGGCUCAACCUGGGAAUUGCAGUGGAUACUGGGUCACUAGAGUGUGGUAGAGGAUAGUGGAAUUUCCGGUGUAGCAGUGAAAUGCGUAGAGAUCGGAAGGAACAUCUGUGGCGAAGGCGACUAUCUGGGCCAACACUGACACUGAGGCACGAAAGCGUGGGGAGCAAACAGGAUUAGAUACCCCGGUAGUCCCUGUCUCUUAUAC
Molecule: ribosomal RNA, 301 nt
Filed under: uncultured bacterium
Lineage: Bacteria
Description: partial 16S ribosomal RNA
Rfam family: Bacterial small subunit ribosomal RNA
Source: RNAcentral